CUGUACACUGAUGAAAGAGUCCUCUCUCUGUGUGAAUAUUUAUGGGUCCCUGAAAUUUCUUGUGGAGAGAAAAAGGUUAAAAAACGGAAUUAUUUAUAGUAAUAGCUAAGAUCGUAACUGUAAGUACUAGAAGUUGACUUGACUCAGAUCAAGUAAAAGGGGGAGCUCAUUAUAAGGAUGUAGCUUGUUUUAAUGGAAACCAGGCAGAAACAUAGCUAGGCUCUAGGGAGAAACUAGACUAAAAAUGAGACAUUUUAAUCUGUGCAAAUGUUUCCUUUUCUGGUUGAUUAUUGUUUAAUUUACCCUGAAAACAAGUUUUUUUGUUUUGUUUUGGGGACAAAGAGAUGCCAAAAUAUAGUCACAUCAUAGCUCUUGAGAUGCACUUACUCUAUUGGACUGAAUUAGAAUCUCCCAGCCCCACUUGCAAAUUUCCAACAGAAAGGAGCCAGCAAUGGUAUCAAGAUAGUGCCCCCUGAGGGAGAGGAACCGUGAAGCCAGAAAGAGGUGGCAGAAGCUAUUAGAGGAAGUGGCAAGAUACCUAAGAUAAAUUUCACCUUUUUCACCUGCUUGCUCAGGACAUGUCAGCCCCA
Molecule: long non-coding RNA, 590 nt
Filed under: Fukomys damarensis (Damara mole-rat)
Lineage: Eukaryota; Metazoa; Chordata; Mammalia; Rodentia; Bathyergidae
Description: lncRNA (ENSFDAG00000025732.1)
Source: RNAcentral